CUCAUCCUGCACGAACAUAUUUGAUAGAUCCGGAUAAACCACAAUGGCAUUUGACAUAUUUUACAAGGAUUAUGGUGAAAGUUCUUCGUGAAACGAGUCGAAUGAAGAGGAAACGGCCGAUUUUUUAAGCGAUACAACGAAGCGAGGCGAAGUACAGGAAGUUGAAUUGUUCACCCUAACUAUAAUUAGUAACGAUUCGCUAUCAAGUCGAAAAGAAAUUAAUACAGAGAAAUAUAGGCGAAAUCGGAAAAGGGAAGAAGCAAAAAGGCAAAGCCAUGGUCGUCUCUUUGUAAACGAAUCAUGGAUCAUUAUUUCUAACUCACCCAUUUAUUGUUAGCGAAAUCCAUUUUUAUUCCUUUGUCGUCACGUCCUUGUGCCAUUUAAUUUUAAGGUAGAGCCGUUUAAUGUUAUUUUUUUGGUGAAAAAUUGAAGAAUGAUUGGUUAAAGGCGCUAAGAAGGAUAACGUGAUAGCUCUCACGCGAAACGACGCUUAACUGUACGCGGAACAACUGAUACUGCACAUUCGUGGCUAAAAAAGAAACCAUACCGGUACGGACUCGUCCGGAAGUGGGUCCGGAACUCUGAUCGGCCAGCCGUAACACACGGAUUUAUAGAUUAGUUAUUGCAUGUAACAAUUACAUUUAUUAUUCAUUAUGCAUUUAUAUCGUAAAAUAAAUGCAUACCGGCGCUGCAUCGUAUCUUACACGAAUCACUGUAACAGGCACGAUAUCAUCAAAUAAGGAUAUAAAUACGAGCGGCUGAAAGGUAUGAGUUACUAACACUAACUCACACUAACCCGAUUGUUAUGUUGCACUUAAAAAAGAUAUAAAUUACACAAGUUUAUACAUUGAUACGCUAGAGAUACGGUAGAGACAGUGUGUUCCAGCUUACGUUUGUAGUUCACUUGCGCGCUGAUGUCACAUAUAUAUAUAUACACACACACACACACACACACAUACCUCAAGCGAAAGGUGAUGAACAACCAAUGGAUAACGUUAAUAGAUAACGUUCGCAGUCUACAUUAUCGACAAAAUAUAAAGUCUUGCUGAUCUAGGUAGGUGCGAUUAAUUAAUAUUCGCCUAAAUAAUUACAAUAAGUAGAUAUGGAUCGCGUUUCUAAUUUCAUUCGGUUUUCUAAAACAAAGGAAAGGUCUUUGAGCGAUUUUGUUGGUCGAUUAAUCAUUCCUCGAAGUUGAAUAUAAAAAAGAAGAAAAAACAGUAGAAUUGCGUUAUGGAUCCUGUUAAGAAGAACAUUUAGCGAGAAAAUAGUGAGAAACCAUCUUGGUCCAUUUGGAUAGGAAGAAAUGUAGGGUUUCAUAAUCGAACGGCGUACAAAGUAAGGUCCGAUGGACUGGCAAAACGAGGAAAACGACUACUUCGACGGUAUUUCGACACGUUAAUGCUACGCUAUGACAAAUUUUUAACGCGCAUCUAUUUCUUCGCGAACAGUAGACAAUUUUUCUUGGAACGAGAGUAACUUUUUAUCCAGAACGAAAAGUGAAGUGAGUUUGGCCGGUAACCUUGGUCGCAGCGUUUCUUCCAAAGAAGUACAGGUUCGAUCAAUCGAAAAUCUUCAUUGUAUCUUUCAGUUAUAAAUUCAGAUAAGUUUGACAAAUUGCCUUCUUCGAUGAUAGGUCAGCUUCAUUAAUUGCAAAGAAUCGAAAAGUUUUACGUCUGCUUUUGAACAACUGAACUUAGAUGUUAAUUCUAAAAAUAGUACGGAAUUAGUUCAAAGAACGUGCGAUGUACAGACUGAUCCUCUAUAUGAUCACGAAACUGAAAAUAUGAUCACAGGCUUUCAAACUAGAGAGAUCCCAUCCUUUCGUUUGGUCAUUCAGGGUCCUGAAAUUUUAAAAUUUCAGGCAAUGUCGUUAUAUACAUUAAGAAUUUUUUUGUUCUCUCAAUUACUAAUUUAUACGUAUAUAAUUUGAUAACAGGGUACAAAAUAUGCAUCAAAAGAUAUCGCACGUUAUUGGAAGAAAGACUCACGAAUGUGGCUUUGGAAGUCCGGACAGCGUGCGAAUAAUCAACAACAGCCAGAACAUUCUAUGCAUCUAUGUAUAUCGGAGCAGAAUUUCAAAAGAUUUCAAUGAAGAAGAAAUUUAAAUUUAUAGUACUUUUUCCAUGAGAAAAAUUACCUGAUAAAAAUCAUAAUUUAUAUAUAUAUAUAUAUAUAUAUAUAUAUAUAUUUUUUUUUUAUAUUUAUUUACACUCGCAGAAAUAUUGAUGAUUUA
Long non-coding RNA from Vespa mandarinia (Asian giant hornet), 2233 nucleotides. The record is from RefSeq and is a predicted model, not a curated record. Lineage: Eukaryota; Metazoa; Arthropoda; Insecta; Hymenoptera; Vespidae.